UUAUAUUUCAUUAACUGUUAUCAUUUUUGUUCUCUUCCAUUAUGAUAGAAACGGAAGGUGGCACAUGGAACCACGGCUGUGGUCUCCAAAGGAAAGAAGGCCCGCCUUGAGGCACUUCAAACUCCAGCAAGGAUUGCCAAACCUUCGAAGCUGGUACCUCCCCCUCGACCUGUUCCAGAAGCUGCUGUACCAGCUACUCUGGAGGGCGUACCUCCUCCUCGACCUGUUCCAGAAGCUGCUGUGCCAGCCACUCUGGAGGGCAGCGUCUUUGUGCAUUCGAGCAAGGAAAUUUGCAUACAACAUGUAAUGAUUAAACACAUUCAGUGAAUAGAGUGCGGUUCUCUAUUCUUUUGAUAUUUUCUCUAAGUUCCCUUUAAGAAAGUGUAAUUUUGGGUUUCCAUUUCUCAAUUGUAAUGUACAUAUAAUUCUUACUAUGUCUUUGCAGUUUGCUCAACCGGAGGGGGAUGACAAGACUCUGUGUGUUGAUGAGUGGCCGUUUCUUCAAACAGAGUUUUGUGAGAAGGUGAACCAGCCAACUGCUCGGGUUGUCUCUGGACAGAGAAAACAAGAGGAGCCAACACCUUGGGGUCCAAAAGUUGUGAUGGCCCAGGCUGAUAAACCAACAGCCAAUGAGACCAGCUUCUUGGGGUGUUCAACCAAGGUAAUGACAACAAUAUAAAAAAUGAUUUGCAAAUAAGCAAUCAAUCUGUUCCAGGAUCAGUAUCUAGUAACAUUUACAUUAUUACUUCAUAAUUACAAUCAACAUAGUUUAACUGUUUUUAACAUGUUCUUGGUAAUAUCUACACACUAUGAAUUGGAAAUGUCAAGAAGGUUGGCUGAUGAACUUGUUGUGCUCAUUUUAAUUAUUUAAACUGAACUGAAAUAAAAGUUUUCUUUGUCCUUAAUUCUGUUCACCACAAUACACUAAAUGUCCCCUUUUCUAUGGCUAAUGAGUUUGCAUGUAGGGGUAAACCUCAAUUUUUUAACAUUCGUAAUGUUUGUGAUUGCAGAUGACACACAUUGAGGACCAUGAGCCGUUUGAAGCAGCACCUGAGGUCACUGCGAGCAGUCAGCAGGUAUGUAAUUACUAGUGGAAAAAUUGUAUACCAACGGGAAAAGCCACAGCUUAAGAGACCCAUUUUGUUUUGAUGUGUUUAUUCUUUUAAAACAUUGAUAUGGUGUAAGUGUGCAGUU
Molecule: long non-coding RNA, 1194 nt
Filed under: Gadus morhua (Atlantic cod)
Lineage: Eukaryota; Metazoa; Chordata; Actinopteri; Gadiformes; Gadidae
Description: lncRNA (ENSGMOG00000022553.1)
Source: RNAcentral